RNAcentral lists this ribosomal RNA (253 nucleotides) under uncultured bacterium. Its description in RNAcentral is "partial 16S ribosomal RNA". It matches the Rfam family "Bacterial small subunit ribosomal RNA", at positions 524 to 776 of the family's 1533-position model. The record is from RNAcentral.
UACGGAGGGUGCAAGCGUUAUCCGGAUUCACUGGGUUUAAAGGGUGCGUAGGCGGAUAGGUAAGUCCGUGGUGAAAUCCUGCAGCUUAACUGCAGAACUGCCAUGGAUACUAUUUAUCUUGAAUAUCGUGGAGGUUAGCGGAAUAUGUCAUGUAGCGGUGAAAUGCUUAGAUAUGACAUAGAACACCCAUUGCGAAGGCAGCUAACUACGCGAUAAUUGACGCUGAGGCACGAAAGCGUGGGGAUCAAACAGG